UAGGAAUCUGCCUAAUAUUGGGGGAUACCUCGGGGAAACUCGAAUUCCACCGCAUACGACCUACGGGUGAAAGGGGGCGCACGCUCUUGCUAUUACAUGAGCCUACCUCAAAUUAGCUAGUUGGUGGGGUAAAGGCCCACCCAUGCGACGAUCUAUAACUGGUCUGAGAGGAUGAUCAGUCCCCCCCCGAACUGACACACGGUCCGGACUCAUACGGGAGGCAGCAGUGGGGAAUAUUGGACAAUGGGGGCAACCCUGAUCCAUCCAUGCCGCGUGUGUGAAGAAGGCCUUCUGGUUGUAAAGCACUUUAUUCAGGGAGGAGAAGCUAAUGGUUACUACCCCUUAGAUUAGACGUUACCUGCUCAAUAAACACCGGCUAACUCUGUGCCAGCAGCCGCGGUAAUACAGAGGGUGCGAGCGUUAAUCGCAAUUACUGGGCGUAAAGCGAGUGUAGGUGGCUCAUUAAGUCACAUGUGAAAUCCCCGGACUUAACCUGGGAACUGCAUGUGAUACUGGUGGUGCUAGAAUAUGUGAGAGGGAAGUAGAAUUCCAGGUGUAGCGGUGAAAUGCGUAGACAUCUGGAAGAAUACCGAUGGCGAAGCAGCUUCCUGGCAUAAUACUGACACUGAGAUUCGAAAGCGUGCGUAGGAACAGGAUUAGAUACCCUGGUAGUCCACGCCGUAUCGAUGUCUACUAGGCCGUUGGG
RNAcentral lists this ribosomal RNA (706 nucleotides) under uncultured bacterium. RNAcentral's name for it is "bacterial SSU rRNA". It matches the Rfam family "Bacterial small subunit ribosomal RNA", at positions 118 to 828 of the family's 1533-position model. The record is from RNAcentral.